ACAUGAAUUUAAGAUUUAUUUGCAAUUACCCCACCAUUUACAAUUUCACCCAAAUUAAUCUGAGUUGGCGAUGAUCGGAUUGCCAACGUGGCCGCCGGAAUCGCCAAAUCACGCAUACACCUCUCUCUCUUUCUCUCACACACACACACACAUGGUAGAGAUUGCAGGGAAAGCAGCUAUUAGUGCUUCCCCCGCCCCUUCGCCGCCCGUGGCCGCCCUCGCCCCAUUCGCCGCCCUCCUCCACCAACAGAGACGUCUUCAACAGAAGUUACCCCCCAAAUCUACAACUUGACUGCAGCCAUAGAGAUUAUAGGGUUUCCAUCAAAAAAUCUGAUGCAAAGCCAUCAAUCCAUCAACGAUUUCACCACCCACCACAAAUCACCAAAGCUUAAUAAUGGUUUCACCAGAUUCACGGAAUCACCACCACGAUCCAUCUUUCAGAAGUGUUAAUUUCACCGGCGAUGGGGUUGGGGAAGGGGGAGUGGCGGCAGAAUGACAAAUUGCAACGGCGGCGCAGUCGACUGGCGGCAGAAUGACGGCGGAGUUCGAGGAGGGGCAGCUGGAGAGACCCAAAUGGACCGGCGAGACGCCGCUUUCUCAGCUCGUCGGAGGUUGGGGGAAGGUCUGUUGGAUUGGGGGGUGGGGGGGAAGGGGAUGGU
This 659-nucleotide long non-coding RNA is filed under the name Salvia miltiorrhiza (redroot sage). RNAcentral describes it as "long non-coding RNA (SMIL_LNC013703)". The record is from RNAcentral. Lineage: Eukaryota; Viridiplantae; Streptophyta; Magnoliopsida; Lamiales; Lamiaceae.